UAAUAUUGUGAGACAAAUCUGGUGUGGAAA
RNAcentral lists this non-coding RNA (30 nucleotides) under Mus musculus (house mouse). Lineage: Eukaryota; Metazoa; Chordata; Mammalia; Rodentia; Muridae. The record is from RNAcentral.